UAAAAGGGCUUCUGUCAUGAGUGACACACCCAGAGCAACUCGAUUGCUCUGCAUGCAGAAUCAACACCAAGGGAUUUCGGAAGCAUAAUUUUUCUGGGCAGCUUGUGAUCGUUGGUCCUAGGCACUCAU
Mastomys coucha (southern multimammate mouse) is the source of this 129-nucleotide small nuclear RNA. RefSeq annotates it as U11 spliceosomal RNA. The record is from RefSeq and is a predicted model, not a curated record. NCBI's taxonomy places the organism in Eukaryota, Metazoa, Chordata, Mammalia, Rodentia, Muridae. The transcript has a single exon.